GAGUUUGAUCAUGGCUCAGGACGAACGCUGGCGGCGUGCUUAACACAUGCAAGUCGAACGGUGAAGGAGGAGCUUGCUCCUUUGGAUCAGUGGCGAACGGGUGAGUAACACGUGAGUAACCUGCCCUUGACUCUGGGAUAAGCACUGGAAACGGUGUCUAAUACCGGAUACGACCCUCGGAGGCAUCUCCAGGGGGUGGAAAGAAUUUCGGUCAAGGAUGGACUCGCGGCCUAUCAGCUAGUUGGUGAGGUAACGGCCCACCAAGGCGACGACGGGUAGCCGGCCUGAGAGGGUGACCGGCCACACUGGGACUGAGACACGGCCCAGACUCCUACGGGAGGCAGCAGUGGGGAAUAUUGCACAAUGGGCGCAAGCCUGAUGCAGCAACGCCGCGUGAGGGACGACGGCCUCGGUUGUAA
Molecule: ribosomal RNA, 419 nt
Filed under: uncultured bacterium
Lineage: Bacteria
Description: bacterial SSU rRNA
Rfam family: Bacterial small subunit ribosomal RNA
Source: RNAcentral